Pogoniulus pusillus (Red-fronted tinkerbird) is the source of this 560-nucleotide long non-coding RNA. RefSeq lists it as uncharacterized. NCBI's taxonomy places the organism in Eukaryota, Metazoa, Chordata, Aves, Piciformes, Lybiidae. The record is from RefSeq and is a predicted model, not a curated record. The transcript is spliced from 2 exons.
CUCCCCGCAUGUCGCCCACCUGCUUCUCCAGGGAGUCCUUGGCCGAGAGGGAGGGCUUGGGGGAGGGUGCCCGGUCGCAGACGCAGCCCUCGAGCAGGUAGAGACCCGAGGGCCGGGAGCUGGAGUCGGUCUCGAAGUAGAAGAGCAUGUUGUGCAGCAGCGCGAACCACUUGGUGUGCCAUUUUGUGUGGUCGGAGCCCCGCUUGCUCAGGUAGCCCCUCCUGGCGCCGUCCUUCUUCGCCAGCAGCCCCAGGUGGCCCUCACUGUCCCUGCUCUAAACUGAAACUGUGAUCACCAGCACAGAGCGAGCACAGAAGCAGCUAAAGCCCUGACGAGGUGUUCAGCACGAUGCUGGCAGGAACUGGACUGAAGAUCCAGGCUGUAUCUGCUGUGGGGCAGCCCCACAGCCGUGGGUGCAGAUGCCCACGCACGCAUGGGAAGCCCAGAGCCUGACCUGACCAUGCAGUAGGGUGGGGAGAGGAUCCAGCAGAUCUGACCACGAGCAUCCUUCUGCUCCCAGCAGGCUCACACAGCCUCAGAAUAAACCCUUUCUAUAUUUA